Molecule: long non-coding RNA, 3455 nt
Organism: Lolium perenne
Lineage: Eukaryota; Viridiplantae; Streptophyta; Magnoliopsida; Poales; Poaceae
Source: RefSeq, a predicted model, not a curated record
ACAUGCUAUGACGAAAAUACUCCAGGUACAUGUUUUGUCUGGAUCGAUUGAGAGCGACCCGUUCAUUCCCUUUCAUUCACGACCUGAGCAGAUGAAGCGACCGGCGGCGGCUCCCAGCGGGCGGCCUGAGCAAAGGAAGAAAGGGAGUUUGGCGGCGGGAAUCCUGGGAGCACGACCACCACUCCCCUGCGACGCUAGGAACGAACCCCCCUCAUCCCGCCCCCGUAUGUGCUCAGAGCCCAGCUGGGGCUUGCGUAUGACAUAGCAGGCCAAAGGACGAGCCUGGAGCCGGGAGGUGCAGCGGUGUGGCCGUGCCACGCCGGGGAAGCAGCUGGCGGCGGAGGCGCACCGGCGACCGGAGAGGUGCAGCACUAGGGACGGAGGUACAGCAGCAAUGAGACUGGAGUGGUGCAGCCGUACAGGCGAGCGUCGAUGCGAGGCGGCAGUUCAUCCUGCCCCGUUGUGAGCAGCAGAGAAAAGGGAUUACAGAUUACCAAUCGCCAGGGGUAGUUGUGUCAUGGAGUUUUGUUUGGAUCCUCAAAUGAAACGAAAAUAAAUUAAAAGGGCAAACAAUAGAGGCAAAGUAAAUAGUGGCAAAUAAUAGAGGUCAAAGUAAAUAAGGACAAAUUGUAGAAUGCCAAAGUAAACCAUGGCAAAAAGUAAAAUUCCCCCCCCCCCCCCCCCGUUUCCUCUCCUCCCACCUCAUUCAUUGCUUUUCUCCAACCAAUUCAAGGGUGGAUGGCAUCCAUGGACGCCGCUCAAGCAUCUCAAAAUCUUUCAAGGGCACUACCGGCCGCGUGGUAUCGCUCCCGCUCCAUCCUUUUCCUAAGGAACCAUUGGACAUGGCAAGGACGGAGAUGGAUGCGUGUACCAGCGGAUGCGACGUCCUCACCAGGCUCAGCCGCCCAAGCCCCGAGUGGAGGACGAUGGCGAGCUCGACCCCACACUUCUCUUCUCCGUCCUGGAGGAAUAAGGUAACCAGUGAAGUUCCCUGUCUUCCCUUUCCGCAGGCAGCAGAUGGAGGAGAAGCAAACAUAUCUCGCAGAUGACGCGCAGUGCACUCAGCUCCUGCCCCUCCGUACCUCUCUGCAGCAGCGCCAGGCUUCUCUUUCCAUGCCUCACCGUUCUGACCCCCGACAUCUCUACUGUGGAGUUGAAUCGGUCUUUGGCAUGAAGACGUUCUCCAUCCAUAUGUACUCAGCUUUUGAAGAUUUACUAUUUAGAGCUCCUAAUUGCAUCCCAAAUCCUACCACUUUAUAGUAUAGAUCCUGAUAGUAAUGUGCUGGUGUAAAUUCAGUUGGAUGACAUGUUCAAUUUGGCAGCAGAUUUCCGUUCUUAACAUCUUUUUCCACAGAGAGCUAUCAACCUGAAAAUACAGGCCAUAAUGAAUAACUAUCUCCAUCUUAUGCUAUACGAUUCCAGUGUUCAGCUAGCACAUCCAAGAGUAUAUUUAAACACCUUUCUAGCUCACCUAGAUAAGUUUCGAUUAGAAAGAUAUUGUCAGCUGCCUGCUUACUAUCUUUUCCAUUCUUUUUGUACAUUUUUUAAUUUUGAUCUUCGCGAAAACUUAGAACUAACCAGGAGAAAGGGAAGGAAAACACAUGAGAAGAUCAGUUUUGAUUAGAAAGAUAUUGUCAGCUUGCCUGCUUACUAUCUUUUCCAUUAUUUUUGUACAUUUUUUUAUUUUGAUCUUCACGACAACUUAGAAUUAACCAGGAGAAAGGGAAGGAAAACGCAUGAGAAAACUUCAUUAUUUUUCCAUCUGAUCCUAUUCUUUCAGGAGUAGCUGAAUUUUUUUUAUUUCUGCAAUUGGUAUAAUUAAUCAAUAUAUGCUAUUUUUUCAGGGCUUCGUUGGCGCGGUGAUGUGCCACCUCUGUGUUUCACAGUUGCCAUCAUGUUUGCUACUUCAGAACUUGAUGUUCUCACUUCGUGUGCUGGAAGGAAGACUGAACAUUCAUUAAGUUAGCUCAAUGUCUUUUUUGCUGAGUUGUCAUAUUAACAUAGUGUCGGCGUUUGACAUUGUAAGAGUGCAUUGAACUAUUCUUCAUGUCUCAUGAAACAUAUGCAUAGUUUAUUGCAUGGUUGGACAUACACUCAUUUUCUUGCACUUCAGCGACUACAAUGUCCAGAGCUUCAACAGAUGGAUGCAUGAAGCAGCCAGGCAGCACAACUGUAAUAACAUAAGCUUUCUAAUUGGUGACGUUUCAUCCCCUGAGUGUGCCUUCCAGGUCAUUUACUCUUACUGCAUUCUCAUCAUUUGUUUAAGUAAUUUACAACUAAUGCAUUGAUUAGUAUUCAUGUGAUACUGAGGAAAGUGAUGUUCCUCUCCUCAUGUAUAUCUGAUUUAGGGUGGCUUUAUUUUUUAUGCGGGUGCAGUCCGUUCAGUCCUCAUGAAGGCCAUCUUUUCGUCCAUUUUUCACUUUGUUCAAAUAUCAUGUGGUACUGAUAGCUAGACCAAUUAGUUCUGAGUUGUUGCAACAAAAUUUUGAUGUGUUGAUCGUUGAUAUUUUGAAUAGGUUAUAUAAAGAGGACACAAACUACACAGUGAGUUGGCAUCAGCUUCUUUAUCUGUAUGAUUCUUUGCUCAAGAGAGGCUAUGUAGCUAAAAGAGAAGACAACCUGACAACUCCGUGGCGUUGCUUAUUUUGAACAUGAGGUCGUCUUAUCUAAAUUAUCAUUUUCUAUCCAGUCUUCAAUUAUUCACACUGCAAUAAUAGGUAACUGAAUGUUCCUCGCAUUUGGAGUCUUUAUUUGUAGUAGUAAGGAACCCAACAGCUCCUCACCUUGACGGUGGCCUCCGCCCUGCCAGUGAUCUGCCACCGCUUGGUUAGCGCUAGACGACUAACAGUGCUGAUGUCUGCUCCAGAUCAGGGACCAUGGCAUCUCCUGGAAGCUGCCCUGCUGCCACCCAAAUAACGGCCAGAAUAUGAACGAUGCAGUCAGCAAGGUGGUGCGCGGAGGACCGGGCUAGCAGACUAAGCCCACAGUAGGAGCUGGGUUCCUUGCCAGCCAAUCCAGUGGAGCAGUUCAAAGAGAAACUGAAGGAGGGUUGGUCUACAGGCUCGAGCCAUUCACGGUUGUUGCUGACUGGUCUAAAUACAGGACAUCAAACCACCUCUAUAAGAUUAGAAUUAGUCAGAACACAAAGGUCAAUGAUGUCGUGCCGGUGCCUGGAAACUUCCAUUUAUACGCAUAUGACGCAAAGCCAUUUGAUUAUGUGCACUGCCUGAGGGUAGAGAUGCAACUCUGCUUGCCAAUGCUUGGCUUGCAUAUGUAUUCUAUUUGACAGUGGUUCUAUGAAUUUGAUUUGAUCUUCAUACUUUAAAGCUUAUCAUGGGAUUUUGAGUGUACAAGCGAUAGCCGUAGGUAAGGGAAAUAUUUUCAUGUCUCAGUGCUAGCUAGCAUUGUCAGUUUAUCUGGUUCUCUAAUAUAUCUGCGGCAUAAAAAAGUAGAAA